RNAcentral lists this ribosomal RNA (497 nucleotides) under uncultured bacterium. RNAcentral describes it as "partial 16S ribosomal RNA". It matches the Rfam family "Bacterial small subunit ribosomal RNA", at positions 28 to 507 of the family's 1533-position model. The record is from RNAcentral.
GACGAACGCUGGCGGCGUGCCUAAUACAUGCAAGUAGAACGCUGAAGAGAGGAGCUUGCUCUUCUUGGAUGAGUUGCGAACGGGUGAGUAACGCGUAGGUAACCUGCCUUGUAGCGGGGGAUAACUAUUGGAAACGAUAGCUAAUACCGCAUAACAAUGGAUGACACAUGUCAUUUAUUUGAAAGGGGCAAUUGCUCCACUACAAGAUGGACCUUCGUUGUAUUAGCUAGUAGGUGAGGUAAGGGCUCACGUAGGCGAGGAUACAUAGCCGACCUGAGAGGGGGAUGGGCCACACUGGGAGUGAGACACGGCCCAGACGCCUAGGGGAGGCGGCAGUAGGGAAUCUGCGGCAAGGGGGGCAACCCUGACCGAGCAACGCCGAGUGAGUGAAGAAGGUUGUCGGAUCGUAAAGCUCUGUUGUAAGUCAAGAACGGGUGUGAGAGUGGAAAGUUCACACUGUGACGGUAGCUUACCAGAAAGGGACGGCUAACUACGUG